RNAcentral lists this ribosomal RNA (178 nucleotides) under uncultured bacterium. RNAcentral's name for it is "partial 16S ribosomal RNA". It matches the Rfam family "Bacterial small subunit ribosomal RNA", at positions 332 to 526 of the family's 1533-position model. The record is from RNAcentral.
AUUACUCCUACGGGAGGCAGCAGUCGGGAAUUUUGGGCAAUGGGCGCAAGCCUGAUCCAGCAAUGCCGCGUGUGUGAAGAAGGUCUUCGGAUCGUAAAGCACUUUCGGCGGGGACGAUGAUGACGGUACCCGCAGAAGAAGCCCCGGCUAACUUCGUGCCAGCAGCCGCGGUAAUAAU